Molecule: ribosomal RNA, 369 nt
Filed under: uncultured bacterium
Lineage: Bacteria
Description: bacterial SSU rRNA
Rfam family: Bacterial small subunit ribosomal RNA
Source: RNAcentral
AUACGUAGGGGGCGAGCGUUGUCCGGAAUCACUGGGCGUAAAGGGCGCGUAGGCGGUAUAUUAAGUCAGGUGUGAAAGUUUUCGGCUCAACCGGAAAAGUGCACUUGAAACUAAUAAACUUGAGUACUGGAGAGGUAAGCGGAAUUCCUAGUGUAGCGGUGAAAUGCGUAGAUAUUAGGAGGAACACCGGUGGCGAAGGCGGCUUACUGGACAGAGACUGACGCUGAGGCGCGAAAGCGUGGGGAGCAAACAGGAUUAGAUACCCUGGUAGUCCACGCCGUAAACGAUGAGUAUUAGGUGUUGGUGAGCAUCAGUGCCGGAGUUAACACAAUAAAUACUCCGCCUGGCGAGUACGGUCGCAAGACUGAA